AGAGUUUGAUCCUGGCUCAGGAUGAACGUUGGCGGCGUGCCUAAUACAUGCAAGUCGAACGGAGAUUGUAGCAAUACGGUCUCAGUGGCGAACGGGUGAGUAACGCGUUGGUGACCUGCCCCGAAGUGUGGAAUAACAGAUCGAAAAAGCUGCUAAUACCGCAUAAUAUCCAGGAGAUUAGAUGCUUCUGGAUUAAAGGAUUUAUCCGCUUCGGGAGGGGCCUGCGUCCCAUCAGCUAGUUGGUAAGGUAAAGGCUUACCAAGGCGAUGACGGGUAGGGGACCUGAGAGGGUGGCCCCCCACAAUGGAACUGAAACACGGUCCAUACACCUACGGGUGGCAGCAGUAGGGAAUAUUAGUAAUGGGCGAAAGCCUGAACUAGCAACGCCGCGUGUGCGAAGAAGGCCUUCGGGUUGUAAAGCACUUUUUGAGAGGAUGAGGAAGGACGGUACUCUCAGAAUAAGUCUCGGCUAACUACGUGCCAGCAGCCGCGGUAACACGUAGGAGGUGAACGUUAUCCGGAUUUACUGGGCGUAAAGCGCGUGUAGGUGGUUUGGUAAGUAGGGCGUGAAAGCUCCUGGCUCAACUGGGAGAGGCCGUUCUAAACUGCCGAACUAGAGGAUGGUAGAGGGAGGUGGAAUUCCGGGUGUAGCGGUGGAAUGCGCAGAUAUCCGGAGGAACACCAGUGGCGAAAGCGGCCUCCUGGACCAUUCCUGACACUCAGACGCGAAAGCUAGGGUAGCAAACGGGAUUAGAGACCCCGGUAGUCCUAGCCCUAAACGAUGUAGACUAGGCGUCGGUGGUUUAAACGCCAUCGGUGUCCAAGCUAACGCAAUAAGUUUACCGCCUGGGGACUACGGCCGCAAGGUUAAUUCUCAAAGGAAUUGACGG
Molecule: ribosomal RNA, 890 nt
Filed under: uncultured bacterium
Lineage: Bacteria
Description: bacterial SSU rRNA
Rfam family: Bacterial small subunit ribosomal RNA
Source: RNAcentral